Molecule: ribosomal RNA, 2070 nt
Filed under: Erysipelothrix rhusiopathiae ATCC 19414
Lineage: Bacteria; Bacillati; Bacillota; Erysipelotrichia; Erysipelotrichales; Erysipelotrichaceae
Description: Bacterial large subunit ribosomal RNA
Rfam family: Bacterial large subunit ribosomal RNA
Source: Rfam by way of RNAcentral
UCAGAUAUAGCUGGUUCUCCCCGAAAUAGCUUUAGGGCUAGCGUCAAUGUAAGGCCACUGGAGGUAGAGCACUGAAUGUAUGAUGGCCCCAUCUCGGGGUACUGAAUAUAAUCAAACUCCGAAUGCCAGUGGAUAGUAGUUGGCAGUCAGACUAUGGGUGAUAAGGUCCGUAGUCGAAAGGGAAACAGCCCAGACCAUCAGUUAAGGUCCCAAAAUUCAUGCUAAGUGGAAAAGGAUGUGGGGAUGCACAGACAACUAGGAGGUUGGCUCAGAAGCAGCCAUCCUUUAAAGAGUGCGUAACAGCUCACUAGUCGAGUGACCCUGCGCCGAAAAUGUACCGGGGCUAAGUAUGAUACCGAAACUAUGGAUUUAUUGUUUCAAUAAAUGGUAGGGGAGCGUUCUAUACAGCGUUGAAGCUGUACCGUAAGGAGCAGUGGAGUGUAUAGAAGUGAGAAUGCCGGUGUGAGUAGCGAGAUGUCAGUGAGAAUCUGACACACCGAUUGCCUAAGGUUUCCAGGGGAAGGCUCGUCCUCCCUGGGUAAGUCGGGACCUAAGAUGAGGCUGAAAAGCGUAGUCGAUGGACAACAGGUUGAUAUUCCUGUACCCGAUACAUAAGUGAAGGAAUGACAGAGAAGGCUAGGUUAUGCCAGCGACUGGAAGUGCUGGUUUAAGCGAAGGAGCUGUAUGGUAGGCAAAUCCGCCAUGCAAAGCAAAGGCGUUACGAGGAGUGAACCCGUGAGGAAGUAGCGAAGUAACUGAUGCCAGCUCUCAAGAAAAGUUUCUAGCGUUAAUUAUGUAUUGGCCCGUACCAAAACCGACACAGGUAGGCAAGGAGAGAAUCCUAAGGUGAGCGAGAGAACUGUUGCCAAGGAACUCGGCAAAAUGACCCCGUAACUUCGGGAGAAGGGGUGCUCGUAAGAGCCGCAGUGAAGAGGCCCAAGCGACUGUUUAACUAAAACACAGCUCUCUGCAAAGUCGCAAGACGAAGUAUAGGGGGUGACACCUGCCCGGUGCUGGAAGGUUAAGGGAAUAUGUUAGAAUUCGUUCGAAGCAUUGAACUGAAGCCCCAGUGAACGGCGGCCGUAACUAUAACGGUCCUAAGGUAGCGAAAUUCCUUGUCGGGUAAGUUCCGACCCGCACGAAAGGUGUAACGAUUUGGGCGCUGUCUCGGCAGCAGACUCGGUGAAAUCUUAGUACCGGUAAAGAUGCCGGUUACCCGCAACUAGACGGAAAGACCCCAUGGAGCUUUACUGUAGCUUGAUAUUGAACUUUGAGCCUACAUGUACAGGAUAGGUGGGAGACUAUGAAGCAUGUACGCUAGUAUAUGUGGAGUCGCCAUUGGGAUACCACUCUUGUAUGUUUGAAGUUCUAACCGCGUACCGUGAUCCGGUACCGGGAGAGUGUCAGGUGGGCAGUUUGACUGGGGCGGUCGCCUCCUAAAGAGUAACGGAGGCGCCCAAAGGUACCCUCAGAUUGGUUGGAAAUCAAUCGACGAGCGUAAAGGCAGAAGGGUGCUUGACUGCGAGACCUACAAGUCGAGCAGGGACGAAAGUCGGGCUUAGUGAUCCGGCGGUUCCGAGUGGAAGGGCCGUCGCUUAACGGAUAAAAGCUACCCUGGGGAUAACAGGCUAAUCUCGCCCAAGAGUUCACAUCGACGGCGAGGUUUGGCACCUCGAUGUCGGCUCAUCGCAUCCUGGAGCUGAAUUAGGUUCCAAGGGUUGGGCUGUCCGCCCAUUAAAGCGGUACGCGAGCUGGGUUCAGAACGUCGUGAGACAGUUCGGUCCCUAUCUGUUGUGGGCGUAGGAAAUUUGAGGAGCGCUGUCCCUAGUACGAGAGGACCGGGAUGGACAUACCGCUGGUGUACCAGUUGUUCUGCCAAGGGCAUCGCUGGGUAGCUAAGUAUGGACUGGAUAAGCGCUGAAAGCAUCUAAGCACGAAGCCAACUCCAAGAUGAGAUUUCCCAUACGUAAGUAGUAAGACCCCUGAGAGACGAUCAGGUUGAUAGGUCAGAGGUGGAAGCAUAGUGAUAUGUGGAGCUGACUGAUACUAAUAGGUCGAGGUUUUAAUCAC